Long non-coding RNA from Aquila chrysaetos chrysaetos, 2387 nucleotides. RefSeq lists it as uncharacterized. Lineage: Eukaryota; Metazoa; Chordata; Aves; Accipitriformes; Accipitridae. The record is from RefSeq and is a predicted model, not a curated record. The transcript has 2 exons.
ACCCGCGGCAGCGAAUUGCGCUUUUUCUGUUCCGUUUCUCCUCAAAAUGGAAGGCCUACCGCAGGCCCUCUGGCUCCAAGGUCUCGCCACGUUAACUCAAAAGAGGAAUCCGGUGACAAACCUAAGCGUCGUACCCUGAACGGGUUGUCUGGUCCCUCUUGUGGGUAAGGCUUCCUCUUUCUCGUAAAGGUUGAGGGCAAAUCAUUUUCUGUGAUCAGCCUCAGUCAGCAACGACCCUCGCCUCUAAACGGGGGCUGCGGAAAGACCAAGCAGCCCCUUUCAGCGCCCGCCGAAGCCAGCCCGUGCCCCUGAGGGCGACUCAGUCUCGCCGGGAGGGGCCUCGAGCGUGGCGCUCCGCAGGGCGAGGGCGGCGUGCGGCGUGCCGUGCCGGGACGGGACGGCGGCGGUGCUGCCUUCGGACUGGCAGCAACAGUGGUCUUCUAAACAUACAAAGCCGGAAUUCCUGUUGAGGAAACAAGUUUGCAUCUUGGCAAGAGAAAAUGAUUUGGCCUACUGCGGAAGCUGGAUUGAAUUCAGCUGAAGAAAAUAAAGAGUGCAGAGACACAGCUGGUGUUUUGAGGACUGAGAGCAAGUAGAGGAACGAAGAUGUGUUAUCAGGCUAAACAUAAAAACCACACCAGGUGAGAGAGUCUCAGACAAGAAGGCAGAGGAUGAAGAGAGAAGUCAGAGAGUUUAAGAUGAGUUCCUGAAGUAUAAACCACAACUUACUGGUGCUGAUAGAUCUAUAACUGUUUUAGUUUGCUAUAGUUCAGUGAAAGUCCAGGCUGUUUCAUCUGUUUACACUAGAAGAGCAUCUGGUCUGCAGUUACUAACCUAGGAGAAGUAUUCUGGGCGAAAAAGUAUUACCUUGUGUAAGCUACAGUUGCUAUGCUCAGCAUGUCAGCUGGUCCUAAAUUACUAAACCCUUAUUCAGCUUUGUCUUUGUGCAUGUAGAAUUGCUUUUUCAAGAAAUGAAGCCGGAAAUUGCUUAUUCGAUACUGUAAUUAAUUCAUGUGAUUCUGCAAGAACAUCUCUGUCGCGUGGUUGGUAAAAUUAUUAUGCGUUCUCGUUUUCUUUUUCAUAAUUUUAGAAAAGUGUGUUUUCUCCUUGUUGGGCUAAAGCACAACUAUAAGCUUUCCCUUUCCCUCACUACAUCUCCCAUCAUUGACUAAGGGCAUUGCCAUUAUCCUGGAAACAGGAGGAGUCUUGGAUUGGAUCAGCCAUUUCACUGCCUGCGUGUGUCUGUGAGAUAAGGACACAGUAUUCAGUCUUUGAAAAUAUGUUCUUCUGAGUAGCUUCUGUAUGUUUCUCUGUGCCUUUCAUUUAUUAACUUUCGCAUGUGACACAUAUGUCUAAAAGCCAAUAUGCUGUAUUAGGGCUCAAUCCCACACUACUGACGUCAGUGAGAGUUUUAUCAAUUACGCUAAUGAGCACAGGAUUAGGCCUUUGUGAUUAUAUGAAGAACCAAUUAUUGGAUUUUACAUGAACCUACAUUAACAACUCCUUGUAAAUGUAACUUGCAAGGUGAGAAUCAGAGAAAACAUUGCUUUUCUGUUCCAGUUUAAAUUUGACUUUGGUAUUAAGCCUUUUGUAUUUAGGUUUUGAAAUGCAGUGCAUUGGCAGAAACAGACACAUUGUGCCCUCUACUCCCGCUCCCAGUAAUAAGGCAUUGCAUAGUUUAAUCUCUUCCUAGGCGUUUCUUGCUUAAGGACCCAGUACUUUCACAGCCUCUGUAUUAAAAAAGACUUUUAGCAUCUUGCAGGGUGAGACCCCCCAAUAUAUUCUGUUUGACAGAUGGUCUUUAUGUAUUGCAUUGUCAAACAAGAACAAACAAACAAACAAACAAACAAAUUUUAAAAGGAACAAACCUAAGCUAGAAAGAAGCCCGAGCCUGUGAUUUACUGUGAUUUAUUCUUCUUGUUUUUAUUCACAGUCUUGCAAGUAUGACAGCUGUGAUGUAAUGACCUGGCCAACAUAUUGCACAGCACAAUGCUACAGAUCUUUUUAUUUUCCUGUUGUUCCUAAUCAUUAUUUAUUAUCUGAGAUAUUAUCAAUCAUUUCUUGUACAACUCCAAAGAGAGCAAGAACAUCUUCCAAGCAACAUGAUUUUUUUAUAUUUGAAGCUCAAAGAGUGUCUGACUUCAGUUUAGCUUUCUGAAAGUCAUUAGUCCACAGUGCAGGUGAAUGUAAUUUCCAUGUAAAUAUAGUCUCUGCAUCAGUAAUUUAUGCUUAAAAUUUAGAAACACUAAAAGUGAACAGCUGCCUUUCAGGCACAACCUGUGAUGGGGUUGAUGCAGAGAUAAUGUUUUAUCCUUUAAUCCACUGCAAAUUCACCCUGAUAUUUCACUAUGUUCCUGCACAUCCAAAUAAAAAGAUGGUUUUUGUAA